UCACUAGCAUCCAUUUAACGUAAUCUUCUCUUGUGUUAAGUGGACCAUUUGCAUUUGAGAUGCUGAUAAAAGAAUUAAUGUUAAAUUCUUCAUCAGUGAAAGGUGAAUUAACUCUUUGUAGACAAUCUACUAUAUGAAGUUUGGAUUUGAAUUUGUCUCUGAAGUUUUGUACUGCAUUCUUUUGUCACAUUUGGUUUUACCUGUCUCAAUAUUACUCUAAUGGAAGAUUGAAAUAUUGAGUUUUGACAUUCCCAU
Molecule: long non-coding RNA, 255 nt
Filed under: Medicago truncatula (barrel medic)
Lineage: Eukaryota; Viridiplantae; Streptophyta; Magnoliopsida; Fabales; Fabaceae
Description: long non-coding RNA (MTRU_LNC005444)
Source: RNAcentral